This 188-nucleotide ribosomal RNA is filed under the name uncultured vent bacterium. Its description in RNAcentral is "partial 16S ribosomal RNA". The record is from RNAcentral.
ACGGGUUAGGCUAGCAGUGGGGUAAUAUUGCACAAUGGGCGCCAAGCAUGAUCCAGCCAUGCCGUCGUGGAGAUGAUGCACGGCCCUUAGGGUUGUAAAGUUCCUUUCAUCCGGUGAAGAAUCAUGACGGUAAUCCGGAUGAACUAAUGCUCCCGGCUAGCUUCGUGCACGACGCCGCAGGUCUUCCC